RNAcentral lists this ribosomal RNA (247 nucleotides) under uncultured bacterium. RNAcentral's name for it is "partial 16S ribosomal RNA". It matches the Rfam family "Bacterial small subunit ribosomal RNA", at positions 530 to 776 of the family's 1533-position model. The record is from RNAcentral.
GGGGGCUAGCGUUGCUCGGAAUCACUGGGCGUAAAGCGCACGUAGGCGGCUUUUUAAGUCAGGGGUGAAGUCCUGGAGCUCAACUCCAGAACUGCCUUUGAUACUGAGAAGCUUGAGUCCGGGAGAGGUGAGUGGAACUGCGAGUGUAGAGGUGAAAUUCGUAGAUAUUCGCAAGAACACCAGUGGCGAAGGCGGCUCACUGGCCCGGUACUGACGCUGAGGUGCGAAAGCGUGGGGAGCAAACAGG